Long non-coding RNA from Mya arenaria, 1979 nucleotides. RefSeq lists it as uncharacterized. The transcript is spliced from 4 exons. The record is from RefSeq and is a predicted model, not a curated record. NCBI's taxonomy places the organism in Eukaryota, Metazoa, Mollusca, Bivalvia, Myida, Myidae.
CUUCCCUGCUGGAUGUGCAUUGAAAUGGCUAAAUAACAGCAGGCGUUCCGAAAUAUAAGUCAUACCAUUUGAUGCACAAUAAAAACCUGAGAUGAAAGAUUGGCAAAAAAGUGUCAUGGUCUUGAUGGAAUAUGCUGUGCUCCUCUUUGACAUAUGUUUAAUAAUGACUGGUGAGGGAAAACUAUCUGGAAUGCUUCAACCCAGGCCACGUAGUAAUCCAAGUGUUCAGACAUCUAGAAUAUGCUCAUGGUCAGCACUCCAAGCGUUCCAUUGUUAAUAGGGAGACUGUGACAAAACAGUACUUACCAACAAACACCGGAGAUACCAGACCAACCAGACGUUAUGCUACAUAUAUAUGGACACAGACACUGCAAUUCAUUGCAUAUUCCAACACAGCAUAAGACUUCGAACUGUUUCAUAGGCAGUGUUAACGUCAUAAAUUGAAAUGAUAUUUCUUUUCUUUUUACGUUUGAUUUUGCUUUGAAAAAGCCAUUAGCAUUUGAUUUUCGAAAAAUAUAUAUUUUUACAGUGUCAACUGGAUUAUCGUCUUGUACAUAUCUUCCUCCAAGCAUUUAAACAAUAUUAAAUUAUAAACGAAAUUUAAAUAAAACAUUAUUGAAUCCUAUGAUAAUAUAUUAAACAUAUACUACCGUGUAAUAUAGCCAUGAGUUUAAUUUCAAUUAAACGUUCAAACUAUUAUUUUUAUAGAAAUUAAGUGAAUGUUUCGAUGUUUCUGAAUACAAAUUACUUGUUUAUUUUUACUUUGACUGGCACAUCUUUAAACGCACAUUGGUGUAUAUAGUGUAUACUCCAGAGUAACAGAAUAGAAAUAGUAGUUAAUAUUUGCAUAAAACUCUGAACGUAUAACAACUUUAUAUGACAAUCCGCACCACUUAUUAAGCUACUUAUUUUGUUAAAUUAGACGAUCUUGUAAAAUAGCUAUAUAUUUUAUAGUCGUUUUGUGUAUCAUGUCAGCAACUGUUGAUUUUAUGAAGAAUUAUAAAUGGAUCUAAAAUACUGUUUGCUUAACAGUUGUUACAAGUAAUGACACAAUAAGGAUUGAUUUAUGAAUUGUCUUCAUACAAAAAAUACAACCAGUAAAAAUUGUAUUUUCGAACUGUUUCCCAAUGCAAUACCUGUCACUCACAGUUUUGAUGCAUAAUAGUAUGAACUUUACUCCUAACCUGAACUAAGGCCGGUUGGUGGUUAUACGAAUCAGUCAUCAUCAUCAUCAUCAUCACCACCACCACCAACACCAACACCAGCAUCAUCAUCAUCAAUCAUCUACAACAUCAUCAUCAAUCAUAAUCAUCAUCAUCAUCAUCAUCAUCAUCAUCAUCAUCAUCAUCAUCAUCAUCAUCAUCAUAAUUAUCAUCACCAUCAUCAUCAUCAUCAUCAUCAUCAUCAUCAUCAUCAUCAUCAUCAUCAUCUUCAUCACCACCACCUACACCACUACCACAACCAUCAACAUCAUCAAUCAUCAACAACAUCUACGCAUCAUCAUCACGCCAUCAUUUUUGUCGUCAUCGUCACAUCAUAAAUAGUAUCAUUGUCGUGGUAGUAUCAUCAUUAUUAUAAUCAUUAUAUAAUCGCCAUCGUCACCGCAUUAUCAUUGUCGUCAUUACAUCAUCAUUAUCAUUAUCAUCACCCUAGUCGUCGUAGUCCUUGUAUUCUUAAUAUUAUAUCAUCAUCGUCGUUGUCGUCGCAUCAUCUUUACUAUCAUCUUCAGCACCAUGCUGCACGUUUGCAUUUAAUUGACAUAGCAUUCAUAAUAUUCGUACUCUAAUUAUGCACCUAGUAAAUACGAAUUUAAGUUAUAAUAACUUAAAAAUUAGCAGCCUGAAACCAAUCGUAUUUUGUUGUGGCCCAAUUUUCAUCAUAAUGACACAAACUUUUCUAAGGAGUGUCGGGUUUCCCGGCAGAAACAGAAUCAUAUUCAUUAUUGUGUAAUAGCAAACACCCAUUUUGAUGUCAUAUUU